Molecule: long non-coding RNA, 4203 nt
Organism: Ictalurus punctatus (channel catfish)
Lineage: Eukaryota; Metazoa; Chordata; Actinopteri; Siluriformes; Ictaluridae
Exons: 2
Source: RefSeq, a predicted model, not a curated record
GGUCGACAGCGGAAAAGCAGGUGCUCGCGCAUUUGCGCUUAAAGCACACUGCUUCAAGGGGGAAUCGUGACAAUAUCAUAUCAUUUUGUAUUAACACUUUAUUUAUGGCCCUAAUACUCAAAUUUUCUUUAGGAGUAGGCAUAACUACUGGGGUAUGGAAGUACUUUGCUUUCUUUUGUUUUCAGUCACACACUCUCUGCUUGGUCCAUUUUUCUUCAGAGUCCUCCAAACUGUGUUUUUUUUCACAUUGAAACCUUUCUGUAAAAUUCUGUCAGGUCAUUGUCACCACGCAUAAUCCCUGACCAGAGUGGAAAAAUUGGUAAGUAGUCUUUCAUCAGAGCAUCCAAUAUCCCUGAACAAUGAUAUUUGUUUUUGUUUGUUUCUGUUUCCUCCUCAGGAUCUUCAGUAGACAUGUACACUUGAAAACUCUUUGGUAAAUGGUGACCUAGCCAAUAUUGUGUUAGCCUCUGGAGGGAUGGAGUAUCCACUGUCUGCUUCUGGAAUUUUUAUCCAACGAAUGUGGUCAUGAAGUUCUUGAAGACACUGAUUUACACAUUCUGUCUUUGCUUUUGGGUAAAAGAUAUGGCACAUGCUCUUGAAAAUGUCUAAAGCCUUCUUCAGACUUGUGGUGUUUAUUAGCUGUGCCACACAGUGAGUGGAAAACUCUUUCAAGCCCUUGCCAAUUGCUCCUUGGACUGCUUUGAUUAUAUGUGCAGAACAAAGGUGAAGGACACUUAGUCACCUAAGGUUUGUCAUGGUGACAUUUCCUUUAACUAAAUUGUAGCUUUCCAUUAGGUAGGUAUGUAUAGCUUGUUUACUGAAUGACAACAGGGCAUUGUGGAUGAGUGCCCAUCUAUAGUCGGUCUCAACCUGGUAUAUGUUGUAGACAGUGAGUUUCCGUAUCUUUAUUAUGGUCCGAUGCAACCAAAAAGAAACAUUUGGAAUUGUGUGGUCAUUUGUUAUCAUUUCAGACACAGGUAGAGGAGGCGUGUCUUGGCCAUGUCCUGGUAGAUUGAUGCUGUAGUACAGCACUCUGUUUGGCUGAUUUGGAAUUCAACUCACAACCCCACCAGUAGCAUCCAAAUGCAGGGUAGCAGGAUGUCCCUUUCUGAGAUUUUGUACCAGAAUGACAAGUCCUGUCCCAGUGUACAGAUAAACUCCAAAUGGAUCCACCUGAAGAUCUGUACAAUAGAUCCGUAUGUAUGAUAGAUCCGUGUCUUUUAUGAUUUUCUGAGUUAACAUCAGCUCCAGCAUCACAUCAUCGUGUAGUCUGCAGCUUUUAUUAAUUUCACAAGAAAUUACUUUGAGUAUGUUUUUAUUUAAACUUCUUAUGAUGUUUCCAGCUGUCAAAUCAGGAUCUGGUGUUUUUCUGAGAUUCUUGUAGUAUACAUUACUUAGUCCUUGUGACUCUUCUUUGGCAAUCUUGCCUCUCUUCUAGUGACUGUGAGUGACCUUUGAGUGCUGGUACGGAAACACCAAUGUACAGCAGAGAUUUCGUUAACGAAUUUUUCAUAUAUUAUGUGUGUCCAUAAUUUCUGUAAUUUUCUGCUACCCAGCAAAGGGUUUAACUUUUUCCAUUUUCAUGUGGAUGUGUAAAUUGUGUAAGACUUGGGUCCUGGCCUUGUGCUCCUAUAUGGCUUCAUUUGAUGACCCCAGGUGAGAGAUUCUCUGCAGACUUCUGUGCCUCGCCGCACUUGCAAUUACUGUCUGUCAGGACCUGAGGUGAGAGAUGGUCCGCAGACAUUGGUGGCAGGCCACGCUCUCCAUCACUGUCUGUCAGGACCCCAGAUGAGAGACGGUCAGCAGACUUCUGUGGCAGCCCGCGCUCUCCAUCACUGUCUGUCAGGACCUCAGGUGAGAAAUGGUCCACAGACUUCUGUGCCACCCCCGCUCUCCAUCACUGUCUGUCAGGACCUCAGGUGAGAGAUGGCCCACAGACUUCUGUGUCAUGCCACGCUCUCCAUCACUGUCUGUCAGGGCCUCAGGUGAGAGACGGUUAAUGCAAAAAUGUGAUUAAUUUUCCACCAGUAGGGGUAAAAAAGAGAGGCUGUGAAAGUUCCCCACUAUCCUCCUCUACCGAAUGACACUGAUCUCAUGCCUAUAUGCCCUUUAACAAAAAAGGCUAUUACAAAAACAGCACCCACAAAGUUAUAGCAAAAACGAAGAAAACUUGCCCUUCCCCCGCAGUCCUUUACUUACAGCCCUGCCAAGAGCGAGCCUUCCCGGCAUAACUCACAUUGCACGGAAUUUGCGGCCCAGUGCUCAUUAUAUCGAGAGAAAAUGAUGAAAAGGAAGCUUGUGAAACAUUAUUAGUAGAGAUGCACCGAUACUAAAUUUCUCAGCCAUUACCGAUAACCGAUUUAUUCAGAGUGAUAUUGGCUGAUACCAAUAGUUCUGCCUUUUAUGCCUUCUUUUAAAUUAGUAAUAAUUAAUUCCACAAUUCUGAAAAAAAAAUGCAAAUAAAAACUUUAUUCUCUCCAUUUCAACAAGUUGUUUCACAGUAACUGGUCUCAUAAACAGGAAACACAUUACUCAAAUUAACAUUAACACAUUAACUAAAUUCUGAAGAUAUAAGUAAGAUUUCUUAACUCAUUGAAUGUUAUUAAUUCAUAUUAACAUUGACUAAAAUUUAAAAAAAACUUCCUGUUAGUCUCACAUUCACUCACCACAAACAAAAGCAUUUCUACUUCAUCACAUCAAACUGCUAAUAUAUAAUAUCAACUUUUUUUUUGAUGAUAUUAACUCAUAUUAACAUUAACUGGAUAUGUAACACACUACUCCACAUAUAUAUUUUUUGUGCAAUAUAUACCUUUUUUGUCAACUCAUCUUCAUUUAAAUCUUUCAAUGGUGUAUUGGCGCUUUAAUUCAGUGCGAGCGGCUCGAGCAAUGCAGCAAAAAAAAAAUUAUAUUCGACGCUGAAACUCCCGCUUCACUGCUACAGCGUCCGGUGUAAAAUUUUAGCAGUGCAGAGAUUACAGUUUACACAGUACAGUUUUGUCAUCAUUCCACCCGAGAGACAUCUUCUUUACACAAAGCACAAAAUUGAUUUGUUUUCCCGCCCUCUUUUCAUUGACAGGAUAUAAUCGCCCCUGAUCAUCAGAUGUUUUUAAACUAUCGGCCGAUGGCCCAUAGCAUGAAAAAUUGCUUGUCAGUGGCCUGUCCUGAACUGGAAGCUGCUGGAACAUCAGUGUCACUGUCUACAAUCAAGCGAGUUUUACAUAGCUAUGGAGAAAGGCUGCCGUCCAAGAAAGAAACCCCUGCUCCAAAAUCGACACCUUCAAGCCUGUGUAAAGUUUGUGGCUGACCAUAUGAACAAAGAAAAAGCCUUCUGGAGAAAAGUUUUAUGGUCAGAUGAGACAAAGAUUGAGUUGUUUGGCCACAAUGACCAGAGGUAUGUUUGGAGGAGUAAAGAACACUGUACCAAAUGUUAAGCAUGGUGGUGGUAACAUUAUGCUCUGGGCUGUUUUGCUGCCAGUGGAACUGGUGCAUUUCACAAAAUGGAUGGAAUAAUGAAUGAGGAGGACUACCUUAAAAUUAUUCAGCAUAAUCUCAAAUCAUCAACCAGAUGGUUGAAACUUGGACACAACUGGGUGUUCCAACAGACAAUGACCCCAAACACAAACACAAAGCUGGUUGUGGAAUUUAUAAAGCAGGCUAAGCUUUUGGAAUGGCCUUCCCAACGUCCUAAUCUCAACCUUAUCAAAAAUUUGUGGACUGUGCUUAAAAGUCGAGUCAGGGCCAGGAAGCCAACAAAUGUCGUUGAACUUUACCAAUUCUGCCAAGAACAGUCAUCAACUCUCCAACCAGAAUUCUACAAGAAGCUGGUGGAUGGCUACCAAAAGCAUCUGCUCAAGGUGAAACUCCCUAAGGGACAUUCAAUAAAUAUUAGGUGUGCUGUAUGUCAUGUAAUAUCAGACAAGGAACUCUGGACUACAGUUCCCAGCAUCCACUGCACUUCACUGCAUCACAGUCAUAUAACCACGUGCACCUGAAUCAUGUUAACGAGCACCUAUGUGUGUAUAUAGCCACAGUUUGCACUGCACUCCUUGUCUUAUGUUUGUCUUUCUUUGCCGUUGCCUUUGUUGCUGUGUUUAUGGUCUUUUGUUUAUGUUUGUUCUUAGCCUUAGUGUUUUGCCACAAGGUCAUAGUGUCUUUUUGUGUUUUUGUUUUGGUCUUUAUUAAAACUUAUUAUCUGCACUAGCA